Molecule: ribosomal RNA, 345 nt
Filed under: uncultured fungus
Lineage: Eukaryota; Fungi
Description: SSU rRNA
Rfam family: Eukaryotic small subunit ribosomal RNA
Source: RNAcentral
GUAGUCAUAUGCUUGUCUCAAAGAUUAAGCCAUGCAUGUCUAAGUAUACGCAAAUUAUACUGUGAAACUGCGAAUGGCUCAUUAAAUCAGUUAUAGUUUAUUUGAUGUUUCUUGCUACAUGGAUAACUGUGGUAAUUCUAGAGCUAAUACAUGCGUAAAAAGCCCCGACUUCUGGAAGGGGUGUAUUUAUUAGAUAAAAACCAUCCUCCUCGGAGUUUGGUGAUUCAUAAUAACUUCUCGAAUCGCACGGCCUUGUGCUGGCGAUGCUUCAUUCAAAUACCUGCCCUAUCAACUGUCGACGGUAGGAUAGAGGCCUACCAUGGUUGCAACGGGUAACGGGGAAUA